This is a non-coding RNA of Podarcis lilfordi (Lilford's wall lizard), 184 nucleotides long. Lineage: Eukaryota; Metazoa; Chordata; Lepidosauria; Squamata; Lacertidae. The record is from the annotation of a GenBank genome assembly.
UUUUUAAAUGAGUUCUCAGCACUUUUCUUUCAGGAAAGGGGGGAGGAAAGGACGUCACAAGACAAAAGAGCAGGGGACUUUUAAAGUUUAAAUAGACAGGUUGGGUGCCUGAAGAAGUUUCUGCCUUUUGAGUUUUAACCCUCUGAGGAACUUUGUUUGACUUUCUUCACUGCUGACAAGCAAG